This 776-nucleotide ribosomal RNA is filed under the name Staphylococcus warneri. RNAcentral's name for it is "bacterial SSU rRNA". It matches the Rfam family "Bacterial small subunit ribosomal RNA", at positions 36 to 794 of the family's 1533-position model. The record is from RNAcentral. Lineage: Bacteria; Bacillati; Bacillota; Bacilli; Caryophanales; Staphylococcaceae.
CUGGCGGCGUCCUAAUCAUGCAAGUCGAGCGAACAGAUAAGGAGCUUGCUCCUUUGACGUUAGCGGCGGACGGGUGAGUAACACGUGGAUAACCUACCUAUAAGACUGGGAUAACUUCGGGAAACCGGAGCUAAUACCGGAUAACAUAUUGAACCGCAUGGUUCAAUAGUGAAAGGCGGCUUUGCUGUCACUUAUAGAUGGAUCCGCGCCGUAUUAGCUAGUUGGUAAGGUAACGGCUUACCAAGGCAACGAUACGUAGCCGACCUGAGAGGGUGAUCGGCCACACUGGAACUGAGACACGGUCCAGACUCCUACGGGAGGCAGCAGUAGGGAAUCUUCCGCAAUGGGCGAAAGCCUGACGGAGCAACGCCGCGUGGAGUGAUGAAGGUCUUCGGAUCGUAAAACUCUGUUAUCAGGGAAGAACAAAUGUGUAAGUAACUGUGCACAUCUUGACGGUACCUGAUCAGAAAGCCACGGCUAACUACGUGCCAGCAGCCGCGGUAAUACGUAGGUGGCAAGCGUUAUCCGGAAUUAUUGGGCGUAAAGCGCGCGUAGGCGGUUUUUUAAGUCUGAUGUGAAAGCCCACGGCUCAACCGUGGAGGGUCAUUGGAAACUGGAAAACUUGAGUGCAGAAGAGGAAAGUGGAAUUCCAUGUGUAGCGGUGAAAUGCGCAGAAAAUAUGGAAGGACCCCAGUGGCGAAGGCGACUUUCUGGUCUGUAACUGACGCUGAUGUGCGAAAGCGUGGGGAUCAAACAGGAUUAGAUACCCUGGUAGU